AGCCCGACGUGGGAUUCGAUCCCGGGUCUCCAGGAUCAGGCCCCGGGCCAAAGAAGCAUGAUGCUAUCAGGCCCAAGAAUUGGCCAGGGAGGAGCUCACUACAGACAGGACCACUCAGAAAGACGCCUCUAAACACUCCCUGAACACCCACCCUGUGCUUGGCUCUCUGCAGUUCCUGGAUUACCAAGGGAGGGAGCCACACCCUGCACCCAGAGGACCACACAUUCUGUGUGGGAUACAGCUAAGUGGGCAACAAUUUGCUCAGCAUAUCUCUUCCUAAAUUCCAAGACAGGCUGCUUGCUCUGUUCAGUCAAGACUGCCAACCCAAGAAACAUUUUUGAAAGAUCACAGUCAACGUCAUUGCCAAAAGAAGAAGUUCUUGGCACACAAAGGACCUGGUUCAAUAUGAGAUGCCAGAUGGUGAUUUCAACUUCAGCUAAAUUCCUGCUGAAAAAAGUGUUUGAACUGCAGAUGAGAAAAGCUUCUAUGACAAAUUUCCAAGUGUUAGAAGCUUCAGAGGGAAAUGGCAAGUGUUGAUACACGUACCCCCCCCCAACACAUGCACACAUAUCAUAGAACUACUACCUGCAUCUGGUAAUUAAGAUUCCCACAAAGAUGCCUCUGCUUUUUAAGAAGACUAAGAUCUAAUUUGAUUUUUACUAAUAUUAAAGUGCAUUAACUGA
Canis lupus familiaris (dog) is the source of this 683-nucleotide long non-coding RNA. RefSeq lists it as uncharacterized. The transcript has 4 exons. The record is from RefSeq and is a predicted model, not a curated record. NCBI's taxonomy places the organism in Eukaryota, Metazoa, Chordata, Mammalia, Carnivora, Canidae.